GUACUGCUGAAGAGUCCCAAAUUAGGACGAAAGAGUUGUCCAGUGC
This 46-nucleotide non-coding RNA is filed under the name Trichobilharzia regenti. The record is from RNAcentral. Lineage: Eukaryota; Metazoa; Platyhelminthes; Trematoda; Strigeidida; Schistosomatidae.